RNAcentral lists this ribosomal RNA (253 nucleotides) under uncultured bacterium. RNAcentral describes it as "partial 16S ribosomal RNA". It matches the Rfam family "Bacterial small subunit ribosomal RNA", at positions 524 to 776 of the family's 1533-position model. The record is from RNAcentral.
UACGUAGGGGGCGAGCGUUGUCCGGAUUUAUUGGGCGUAAAAGGCUUGUAGGCGGUUUGUCGCGUCUGCCGUGAAAAUCCGAGGCUCAACCUCGGACUUGCGGUGGGUACGGGCAGACUAGAGUGUGGUAGGGGAGACUGGAAUUCCUGGUGUAGCGGUGAAAUGCGCAGAUAUCAGGAGGAACACCGAUGGCGAAGGCAGGUCUCUGGGCCACUACUGACGCUGAGAAGCGAAAGCAUGGGGAGCGAACAGG